Molecule: non-coding RNA, 206 nt
Organism: Oryza glumipatula
Lineage: Eukaryota; Viridiplantae; Streptophyta; Magnoliopsida; Poales; Poaceae
Source: Rfam
AAAAAGACAAACUCUGUGUUUCCGUGUCCAACGUUUAACCGUCCGUCUUAUAUGAAAUUUUUUUAUAAUUAGUAUUUUCAUUGUUGUUAGAUGAUAAAACAUGAUUAAUAUUUUAUGCGUAACUUGUCUUUUUAUUUUUUUCAUAAUUUUAUCAAAUAAGACGGACGGUCAACCUUUGGACACAAAAAUCUAGGGUUUGUCUUUUU